Molecule: non-coding RNA, 31 nt
Filed under: Mus musculus (house mouse)
Lineage: Eukaryota; Metazoa; Chordata; Mammalia; Rodentia; Muridae
Source: RNAcentral
CUGGUACCCUAACUCGUCUUCCAACCUCUAU